UACAGAGGUCCCGAGCGUUGUUCGGAUUCAUUGGGCGUAAAGGGUGCGUAGGCGGCGCGGUAAGUCGGGUGUGAAAUCUCGGAGCUUAACUCCGAAACUGCAUUCGAUACUGCCGUGCUUGAGGACUGGAGAGGAGACUGGAAUUUACGGUGUAGCGGUGAAAUGCGUAGAUAUCGUAAGGAAGACCAGUGGCGAAGGCGGGUCUCUGGACAGUUCCUGACGCUGAGGCACGAAGGUCAGGGGAGCAAAC
This 250-nucleotide ribosomal RNA is filed under the name uncultured bacterium. RNAcentral's name for it is "partial 16S ribosomal RNA". It matches the Rfam family "Bacterial small subunit ribosomal RNA", at positions 524 to 773 of the family's 1533-position model. The record is from RNAcentral.